RNAcentral lists this ribosomal RNA (660 nucleotides) under uncultured Actinomycetes bacterium. RNAcentral's name for it is "SSU rRNA". It matches the Rfam family "Bacterial small subunit ribosomal RNA", at positions 245 to 915 of the family's 1533-position model. The record is from RNAcentral. Lineage: Bacteria; Bacillati; Actinomycetota; Actinomycetes.
CUUGUUGGUGGGGUGAUGGCCUACCAAGGCGACGACGGGUAGCCGGCCUGAGAGGGCGACCGGCCACACUGGGACUGAGACACGGCCCAGACUCCUACGGGAGGCAGCAGUGGGGAAUAUUGCACAAUGGGCGGAAGCCUGAUGCAGCGACGCCGCGUGAGGGAUGACGGCCUUCGGGUUGUAAACCUCUUUCAGCAGGGACGAAGCGGAAGUGACGGUACCUGCAGAAGAAGCGCCGGCCAACUACGUGCCAGCAGCCGCGGUAAGACGUAGGGCGCGAGCGUUGUCCGGAUUUAUUGGGCGUAAAGAGCUCGUAGGCGGCUUGUCGCGUCGGCUGUGAAAUCCCGUGGCUCAACUGCGGGCUUGCAGCCGAUACGGGCAGGCUAGAGUUCGGUAGGGGAGACUGGAAUUCCUGGUGUAGCGGUGAAAUGCGCAGAUAUCAGGAGGAACACCGGUGGCGAAGGCGGGUCUCUGGGCCGAUACUGACGCUGAGGAGCGAAAGCGUGGGGAGCGAACAGGAUUAGAUACCCUGGUAGUCCACGCUGUAAACGUUGGGCGCUAGGUGUGGGGGGCCUCUCCGGUUCUCUGUGCCGCAGCUAACGCAUUAAGCGCCCCGCCUGGGGAGUACGGCCGCAAGGCUAAAACUCAAAGGAAUUGACG